CAAAACCCGCAGCUCGGCUCCGUCAAAUCCCGCAGCUCAGCUUGGCAGCUUAAUUGGUCGGCUCAGCAGCUCAGCUUGGUGAAUCGGUAUCACUAUAAUAUAUCGAUUCCAAGGUUUUUGGCCCUUCCGAAGCCGUUUCUGCCCUUAGUUUUACCAUCCGAGGACAUAUUUAACCGCUGGGAUUAGCUCGUUGUGAGUGACUUCAACCAAGACCAUCGAGGUAAAGGCAAGGCGCCAAUGUACGGUUGACGGCGGAGCUGAGGC
Cucurbita pepo subsp. pepo (vegetable marrow) is the source of this 264-nucleotide non-coding RNA. NCBI's taxonomy places the organism in Eukaryota, Viridiplantae, Streptophyta, Magnoliopsida, Cucurbitales, Cucurbitaceae. The record is from RefSeq and is a predicted model, not a curated record.